UACGUAGGGGGCGAGCGUUGUCCGGAUUUAUUGGGCGUAAAGAGCGUGUAGGCGGCCAGGUAGGUCUGCUGUGAAAACUCGAGGCUCAACCUCGAGACGUCGGCGGAAACCAUCUGGCUAGAGUCCGGAAGAGGAGAGUGGAAUUCCUGGUGUAGCGGUGAAAUGCGCAGAUAUCAGGAAGAACACCCGUGGCGAAGGCGGCUCUCUGGGACGGUACUGACGCUGAGGCACGAAAGCGUGGGGAGCGAACGGG
This 253-nucleotide ribosomal RNA is filed under the name uncultured bacterium. RNAcentral describes it as "partial 16S ribosomal RNA". It matches the Rfam family "Bacterial small subunit ribosomal RNA", at positions 524 to 776 of the family's 1533-position model. The record is from RNAcentral.